Non-coding RNA from Podarcis lilfordi (Lilford's wall lizard), 72 nucleotides. The record is from the annotation of a GenBank genome assembly. Lineage: Eukaryota; Metazoa; Chordata; Lepidosauria; Squamata; Lacertidae.
GUUUCUUCUAUAGCUCAGUUGGCUAGAGCAUGGUUUACACCAAGGUUGCAGGUUCGAUCCCUAAAAGGGACA